This 582-nucleotide ribosomal RNA is filed under the name Antennella secundaria. RNAcentral describes it as "partial 16S ribosomal RNA". It matches the Rfam family "Bacterial large subunit ribosomal RNA", at positions 1863 to 2615 of the family's 2925-position model. The record is from RNAcentral. Lineage: Eukaryota; Metazoa; Cnidaria; Hydrozoa; Leptothecata; Halopterididae.
CCAGUGAUUGAAGUUUUUACUUAAUAGUAAUAUUUCAAAUUAAACGGCCGCUGUAUAAUUGACGGUGUUAAUGUAGGAAAAUAAUUAGUUAUUUUAUUGAUGAACGUAGAUGAAUGGUUUAACGAGGGUUUCGCUGUCUUAAUUAGAAAUUUUUAAAAUUAAACUAAUAGUCAAGAUGCUAUUUACAAUUGUAAGACGAGAAGACCCUAUAAAGCUUGACUAUAAGAUUAAAAUUUGAAUUAUAUUAUACAAUAUAAUUUUAUCAUUUCUUUCUGGUAGUUUGGUUGGGGCAACAACAUUUUAAAUAUAACGAAUGUAUUUAAUAAUAUAUUAAAUUAUUAUUGUUUAAUUCAUAAAUUUAACAAUUACAAAGUAGAAAAAAUGACCUAUCAAUUAAUUAAGAUUUUAUUGAUAAUAAAUAAAUAAAAGUUACUUUAGGGAUAACAGGUUAAUUUUAUUUAAGAGAUGCUAUUUAAAAUGAAGUUUGACACCUCGAUGUUGAAUUAAGUUAUCCCAGUAAUGCAGCAGUUACUAAAGGUUGGUCUGUUCGACCAUUAAAAACUUACAUGAUUUGAGUUCAUU